UGUAGGAGUGAGCCUGCUCGCGAUAGCGGUGGAUCAGUCAGUAAUGGUGUGUCUGACCCACCGCUAUCGCGAGCAGGCUCGCUCCCACA
RNAcentral lists this unclassified non-coding RNA (89 nucleotides) under Pseudomonas sp. Z003-0.4C(8344-21). The record is from RNAcentral. Lineage: Bacteria; Pseudomonadati; Pseudomonadota; Gammaproteobacteria; Pseudomonadales; Pseudomonadaceae.